Molecule: long non-coding RNA, 1395 nt
Organism: Dicentrarchus labrax (European seabass)
Lineage: Eukaryota; Metazoa; Chordata; Actinopteri; Moronidae
Exons: 3
Source: RefSeq, a predicted model, not a curated record
UAACUUGAGUAAAAAAGCCAUACAGGAUUUCUUCAUACCACAAGUGAAUGUUGUAGCGGAACGUUAUUGCUUCAGACAACGAAGCCAACGCCCGGGUGAGACUACAGACAGUUUGCUGCUGCUUUAAAAUAACUGGUUACAACAUGUCAGUUUGGGACUAUGGAAGAGGAGAUGAUACGGGACCAGAUCGUGGAGAAGAUAAUUCAACACGCUUCAGAGAGCGUUUACUAGUGGAGGAGGCUGUAACUUCUGUCUGUCCCCACUCAGCUCAGCAUUAAAGCUUGAAGAGUGCUGCACAACUGUCCCCUGCAGGUUGUUAUUGAAAAAGAAUCCAUAGGAUGGCAGUAGCAGUCCAACUGAGAGACAGACCAACUGUGAACCUCCUCCCUCCUUUUCUUCAUCUGUUGUCAGUCAGCAGGGAUCACUGUAUGGUUUAUACAGCUCAUGAUGGGGAACACUUCAGCUCUGAAAUAUAACUUUAUACUUUAUUACACAGAAGUGACCCCCUACAAAGGCAUAUUACUAAUAGUUUUAAUAUCUUCUUUGCAUGGUGCCAUUCAUGAGCCAAUUUGCCAAAUUAAUUCCCUGCUCCUGUUCCUCCACUGGAUUUCUAACACUGUUUACCAUCAGGUCACUCAGAUAUAGAUUUUCAUUGGCGGCUCCCCUUGCAAUGUUUGUCAGAGCAACCCUGUCCAAAAGAGUUGUUUUCCACAUUGCUGUAGCAACAAACCACCACACAAUUUACAAGUCAAACCAAAGCCAGUUUUUGUCAGUUAUUAUUUGAACAGAUCAGUUUGUAAAAUCUCUAUUGUUCCAAGUGUACACUGGUAUCUGUUUAUUAACCAAAAUGUGAAUCAAAGCUGAACACAGAUUCAUAACAUUUCCUAUUUACUUCACAUUAUGCUAUCAUAUUCACUCAGAUACAUUUACACACACAUUUUAAAAUUGUGAUACUUGCCCAGGGACCUCAGGUCAGCUAAGGUUGAGGUCCACAUGACCAAAAGCCCCUGCCGACAUCCCCUUCAACUGCCUAACUGUUUUAUCCUUGCUGGGUUCAUGAGCAUUCCUGUAAUAUUCAGUAGCUAGUAUUCUGUGUAUGCCAGCCAGAAUGUGGAAUGUUUUUGAUUAAUUGUUUUGCCCUGAAGUAAGACUAGCCGGCCAAAUCAAUAUCACAACAGACCUUUUUCACAGCAGCCAUUUUUCACAUGCAAUAGUAGGGUAAACAUAGUUGUUACCAAUGAUUAACAUAACAUUAAUAAAAGCUUCAUGUACCCUAUUAUUUUAUGUCAAAUCGGCUGCUGUGAAAAAGGUCUAUUUGCCUCAGGGGGCUUUACAAUCUGUACACAUUUCUGUUCAGCUCUGUAAUGUAAAAAUAAAAUUGAACAUUUAGAUGGA